RNAcentral lists this ribosomal RNA (253 nucleotides) under uncultured bacterium. Its description in RNAcentral is "partial 16S ribosomal RNA". It matches the Rfam family "Bacterial small subunit ribosomal RNA", at positions 524 to 776 of the family's 1533-position model. The record is from RNAcentral.
UACGAAGGGGGCUGGCGUUGUUCGGAUUUACUGGGCGUAAAGCGCACGUAGGCGGAUCUUUAAGUCAGAGGUGAAAUCCCAAGGCUCAACCUUGGAACUGCCUUUGAUACUGGGGAUCUUGAGUCCGGGAGAGGUGAGUGGAACUGCGAGUGUAGAGGUGAAAUUCGUAGAUAUUCGCAAGAACACCAGUGGCGAAGGCGGCUCACUGGCCCGGUACUGACGCUGAGGUGCGAAAGCGUGGGGAGCAAACAGG